ACUCCUACGGGAGGCAGCAGUGGGGAAUUUUGGACAAUGGGCGAAAGCCUGAUCCAGCAAUGCCGCGUGUGUGAAGAAGGCCUUCGGGUUGUAAAGCACUUUUGUCCGGAAAGAAAUCCUUGGCUCUAAUACAGUCGAGGGAUGACGGUACCGGAAGAAUAAGCACCGGCUAACUACGUGCCAGCAGCCGCGGUAAUACGUAGGGUGCGAGCGUUAAUCGGAAUUACUGGGCGUAAAGCGUGCGCAGGCGGUUUGCUAAGACCGAUGUGAAAUCCCCGGGCUCAACCUGGGAACUGCAUUGGUGACUGGCAGGCUAGAGUAUGGCAGAGGGGGGUAGAAUUCCACGUGUAGCAGUGAAAUGCGUAGAGAUGUGGAAGAAUACCGAUGGCGAAGGCAGCCCCCUGGGCCAAUACUGACGCUCAUGCACGAAAGCGUGGGGAGCAAACAGGAUUAGAAACCCCUGUAGUCCCAUGAU
RNAcentral lists this ribosomal RNA (475 nucleotides) under uncultured organism. RNAcentral describes it as "partial 16S ribosomal RNA". It matches the Rfam family "Bacterial small subunit ribosomal RNA", at positions 335 to 801 of the family's 1533-position model. The record is from RNAcentral.